Molecule: long non-coding RNA, 902 nt
Organism: Schistocerca serialis cubense
Lineage: Eukaryota; Metazoa; Arthropoda; Insecta; Orthoptera; Acrididae
Exons: 4
Source: RefSeq, a predicted model, not a curated record
CAUGGAGGUAAUUCUUACCUCCAUGGUAUAAACGCUGUAGCCAACAUGUGACGUCACUUACGUCAACAGCGUUGUUUACAGGUCUAGUCAGGAGGCAGCGCUGUCACGCUUUCAGCCUUUCUGAUGACAUCAUGAAGCGAUUCCUCGGGGCCCGCGAGACGCACGUGUUCUUCACAGGGCUGGAAAUGGUGUAGAGCGGCCUAUUAUGCUGCUGCGAAAUGCAAUAAAGGGAAAAAAAAACACAUAAGAAGCACAGACAUGUACUCUACACGCAAAAGGGAUUGAAGCCCCAUUUGUGGUUCUGUAGACUGCUGUGUUUCAGUCACUGUCGCCUGUUGCCACAAUUUCAGACACGGCAGACUGCACACUACUACUAAACACGGUACUGCAGCUCCUGGCGAACCAAGCCACCAAUGAAGCGCCACAAGCAUCAACUUUAGGUCCGAGUGUCAUACUGCCUUUUCGCCAGUUUAAUGAAGUAGAAGAGGAAUGGCCCGAGUGGUUGCAACAGUAUGAUGCCCACGUAAUUGCUGACAACGUGUCAGAUUCAUGGAUCCCGAGAACAGCGUGGCCACAACAGGUGUCUGAGGGUGUCAUGACGACAUCGCGGGACGACCCCAUGGAGACGGAGCCUUUGCCUCCUCCACGUCCUCUAGUCUUACCGAUGGAGCUAGAGCCGCCCACUCAGCAGCAGCUGACGCCUUCUACUUGUUGUUGUGGACCUCUGGAGGUGGACGCGUACCCUUCUGGGCGUUUUCCGGGGGUCGUUUCCACCAGAGUGAAGGCCGGACGACGGGGUACGACAGGGAGCGUGACGACCCCUGCAGCCACAGCUUCCGGUACCUCAGAGCAUCUACGCUCCUGUCUCCCCCGCUGUAGUCGUGCUCCCUAUACGACGACGG